This 124-nucleotide small RNA is filed under the name Marmota monax (woodchuck). Lineage: Eukaryota; Metazoa; Chordata; Mammalia; Rodentia; Sciuridae. The record is from RNAcentral.
GCCAGGCAUGGUGGCGCAUGCCCGUAAUCCCAGCAGCUCAGGAGACUGAGGCAGGAGGAUCACGAGUUCAAAGCCAGCCUCAGCAAAAGUGAGGUGCUAAGCAACUCAGUGAGACCUGUCUCUA